This 368-nucleotide ribosomal RNA is filed under the name uncultured Nitrososphaerota archaeon. RNAcentral's name for it is "bacterial SSU rRNA". It matches the Rfam family "Archaeal small subunit ribosomal RNA", at positions 339 to 711 of the family's 1478-position model. The record is from RNAcentral. Lineage: Archaea; Thermoproteati; Nitrososphaerota.
GCGCGAAAACUUCACACUGCAGGAAACUGUGAUGAGGGAACUCCUAGUGCAUGCACUAUGUGUAUGUAGAUCCUACUCUUAACAAGUAGAGGGAAAGGGCUGGGAAAGACCGGUGCCAGCCGCCGCGGUAAUACCGGCAGCUCAAGUGGUCGUCGCUUUUAUUGGGCCUAAAACGUCCGUAGCCUGUUUGGUAAAUCUGUGGGUAAAUCAAUCCUCUCAACGGAUUGAAUUCUGCAGAGACUGCCAGACUAGGGACCGGGAGGGGUAUGAGGUACUCGUGGGGGUAGGGUAAAAUCCUGUCAUCCUCAGAGGACCACCUGUUGCGAAGGCGUCAUACUGGAACGGAUCCGACGGUCAGGGACGAAGCC